This 22-nucleotide non-coding RNA is filed under the name Arabidopsis thaliana (thale cress). Lineage: Eukaryota; Viridiplantae; Streptophyta; Magnoliopsida; Brassicales; Brassicaceae. The record is from RNAcentral.
AACCAAACAUUUAAGUCUGCUU